GCUCCUGCUGUCUGGAAGAGGCAGAAACCUUGCCACAUCUUUUCGUCAAUGGACCGGUGGCAAGAGAGGUUUGGGGGCAUUUUGCCGGUAUGUUUGGCAUUCUUCACUUGCCGUCGGAUGAUAUUCAGCUCAUGUGGAGGGAGUGGGCCACAUCGUUGACACGCAUCCCCAAUCAUCAUAUUCGAUGUGUACUCCCGCUAGUGGUUACAUGGUUCAUAUGGCAGGGAAGAAAUAAGGCGAGGUUUGAAGGACAGGCUUUUUCGGCUCGGGAGGUCAUUGUUGAGGUGAGCAAUUUCUUGCAUGACUUGGGACGAGCAAAAAAGUUGG
This 327-nucleotide long non-coding RNA is filed under the name Coffea arabica (coffee). Its description in RNAcentral is "long non-coding RNA (CARA_LNC005464)". Lineage: Eukaryota; Viridiplantae; Streptophyta; Magnoliopsida; Gentianales; Rubiaceae. The record is from RNAcentral.